AUACGAAGGGGGCUAGCGUUGCUCGGAAUGACUGGGCGUAAAGGGCGUGUAGGCGGUUUACUACAGUCAGAUGUGAAAUCCCCGGGCUUAACCUGGGAGCUGCAUUUGAUACGUGUAGACUAGAGUGUGAGAGAGGGUUGUGGAAUUCCCAGUGUAGAGGUGAAAUUCGUAGAUAUUGGGAAGAACACCGGUGGCGAAGGCGGCAACCUGGCUCAUGACUGACGUCUGAGGCGCGAAAGCGUGGGGAGC
RNAcentral lists this ribosomal RNA (249 nucleotides) under uncultured bacterium. RNAcentral describes it as "partial 16S ribosomal RNA". It matches the Rfam family "Bacterial small subunit ribosomal RNA", at positions 523 to 769 of the family's 1533-position model. The record is from RNAcentral.